UAGGGGGCAAGCGUUAUCCGGAUUUAUUGGGUUUAAAGCGAGCGUAGGCCGGAGAUUAAGCGUGUUGUGAAAUGUAGACGCUCAACGUCUGCACUGCAGCGCGAACUGGUUUCCUUGAGUACGUAGGAAGUUGGCGGAAUUCGUGGUGUAGCGGUGAAAUGCUUAGAUAUCACGAAGAACUCCGAUUGCGAAGGCAGCUGACUGUAUCGUAACUGACGCUGAAGCUCGAAAGUGUGGGUAUC
Molecule: ribosomal RNA, 242 nt
Filed under: uncultured bacterium
Lineage: Bacteria
Description: partial 16S ribosomal RNA
Rfam family: Bacterial small subunit ribosomal RNA
Source: RNAcentral